GGAAUUUUAGGAGGUGACAAAGUAGUCUCGAAAACUACUUUGGGGAAACCCAACGAGGGUUCGAAUCCCUCCCUCUCCG
This 79-nucleotide transfer RNA is filed under the name Leptolyngbya sp. FACHB-60. Its description in RNAcentral is "tRNA-Ser". It matches the Rfam family "tRNA". From Rfam's summary of the family: Transfer RNA (tRNA) molecules are approximately 80 nucleotides in length. The record is from RNAcentral. Lineage: Bacteria; Bacillati; Cyanobacteriota; Cyanophyceae; Leptolyngbyales; Leptolyngbyaceae. RNAcentral also lists the same sequence under 8 other names.